AAUCAACGCUGGCGGCGUGCCUCAGACAUGCAAGUCGAACGAUUAAACUCGCCUUCGGGUGAGAUAUAAAGUGGCGCACGGGUGAGUAACACGUAGGUAAUGUGCCUUUGGGUGGGGAAUAACAGUCGGAAACGACUGCUAAUACCGCAUAAUGCAGCGGCUCCUUCGGGAGACAGUUGUUAAAGAUUUAUCGCCUAAAGAGCAGCCUGCGGCAGAUUAGCUAGNGGUAAGGUAACGGCUUACCAAGGCAACGAUCUGUAUCCGACCUGAGAGGGGUGGUCGGACACACUGACACUGAAUAACGGGUCAGACUCCUACGGGAGGCAGCAGUCGGGAAUUUUGGGCAAUGGGCGCAAGCCUGACCCAGCAACGCCGCGUGAAGGAUG
Molecule: ribosomal RNA, 386 nt
Filed under: uncultured bacterium
Lineage: Bacteria
Description: bacterial SSU rRNA
Rfam family: Bacterial small subunit ribosomal RNA
Source: RNAcentral